GGCUCUCAGAGGCGAAGAAGGACGUGAUAAGCUGCGAAAAGUUGCGGGGAUUGGCACAUACGAAUUGAUCCGCAAAUAUCCGAAUGGGGCAACCCAGUACAUUGAAGAUGUACUACACCGAUUGGUGGGCAAACCUGCUGAACUGAAACAUCUUAGUAGGCAGAGGAGAAGAAAACAAAAGUGAUUCCCAGAGUAGUGGCGAGCGAAAUGGGAGCAGCCCAAACCCAUAUUGUUACGGCAAUAUGGGGGUAGUAGGACCCAGAUAUAGGUUGUAAAGCUGGAUUAGAAGUGUUUGGAAAGACACACCAUAGAGAGUGAAAGUCUCGUAUAGGCACAGUUUUAUAAAUCUUAUGGGUAUCCUGAGUAGGUCGGGGCACGUGGAACCUUGACUGAAUCCGCCGGGACCAUCCGGUAAGGCUAAAUACUCCUGAGAGACCGAUAGUGAACCAGUACCGUGAGGGAAAGGUGAAAAGAACCGUGAAUAACGGAGUGAAAUAGACCCUGAAACCAUACGCUUACAAGCGGUCGGAGCAGCGUUGUGGAGGACCGAACUGGUUGUCGUUGAAAAGACUUCGGAUGACCUGAGGGUAGGGGUGAAAGGCCAAUCAAACUGGGAAAUAGCUCGUACUCCCCGAAAUGCAUUUAGGUGCAGCGUUGAUGCGAGUUUAAUAGAGGUAGAGCUACUGAUUGGAUGCGGGGGUUUCAUCGCCUACCAAUUCCUGACAAACUCCGAAUGCUAUUAAAUGCUCAUCAGCAGUGAGGGUAUGGGUGCUAAGGUCCAUAUCCUAAAGGGAAAGAACCCGGACCAUCAGCUAAGGUCCCCAAAUAUAUGCUAAGUUGACCAAACGCGGUCUGACUGCACUGACAGCUAGGAUGUUGGCUUGGAAGCAGCCAUACAUUUAAAGAGUGCGUAACAGCUCACUAGUCGAGCGGUUGGGCAUGGAUAAUAAACGGGCAUAAGCAUAUUACCGAAGCUAUGGGGUUAUUACUUAAGUAAUAUACCGGUAGGGGAGCAUUCUAUUGGCGUGGAAGCUAAAGGCGUGAGCCAUAGUGGAGCCUGAUAGAAAAGAAAAUGUAGGCAUAAGUAACGAUAAGGCAGGCGAGAAACCUGCCCGCCGAAAGAUCAAGGUUUCCUCAGCUAUGCUAAUCAGCUGAGGGUUAGUCGGGGACUAACGCGAACCCGAGUAGGGGUAGUGGAUGUACAAUAGGUUAAUAUUCCUAUACCAUUAGUCUGUUAAAAGUGACGGAAUGAGAUAACUACCGCGUACUGACGGAAUAGUACGUUUAAGGAGUUGUUAUGACUUCGAAAGUACGCUGAGGCUUCGGCCGAGGUGAGUGUGGUGACAACGUUUCCAAGAAAAGCGAAGGCUAAUGCCCGUACCGUAAACCGACACAGGUGAUUGGGAUGAGAAUUCUAAGGCGCUCGAGAGAUUCAUGGCUAAGGAACUAGGCAAAAUAGACCUGUAACUUCGGGAGAAAGGUCGCCUAUCUAGCGAUAGGCCGCAGUGAAAAGGUCCAAGCGACUGUUUAUCAAAAACACAGGACUCUGCAAAAUCGAAAGAUGAAGUAUAGGGUCUGACACCUGCCCGGUGCUGGAAGGUUAAGAGGAGAGCUUAGCGUAAGCGAAGGUUUGAAUUGAAGCCCCAGUAAACGGCGGCCGUAACUAUAACGGUCCUAAGGUAGCGAAAUUCCUUGUCGGGUAAGUUCCGACCUGCACGAAUG
This 1722-nucleotide ribosomal RNA is filed under the name human oral metagenome. RNAcentral's name for it is "bacterial LSU rRNA". It matches the Rfam family "Bacterial large subunit ribosomal RNA", at positions 35 to 1998 of the family's 2925-position model. The record is from RNAcentral.